UACGUAGGGUGCAAGCGUUGUCCGGAAUUAUUGGGCGUAAAGAGCUCGUAGGCGGUCUGUUGCGUCGGCUGUGAAAACCCGGGGCUCAACUCCGGGCCUGCAGCCGAUACGGGCAGACUAGAGUUCGGCAGGGGAGACUGGAAUUCCUGGUGUAGCGGUGAAAUGCGCAGAUAUCAGGAGGAACACCGAUGGCGAAGGCAGGUCUCUGGGCUGACACUGACGCUCAUGCACGAAAGCGUGGGGAGCAAACAGG
Molecule: ribosomal RNA, 253 nt
Filed under: uncultured bacterium
Lineage: Bacteria
Description: partial 16S ribosomal RNA
Rfam family: Bacterial small subunit ribosomal RNA
Source: RNAcentral